AGCGAACGCUGGCGGCAGGCUUAACACAUGCAAGUCGAGCGGGCGUAGCAAUACGUCAGCGGCAGACGGGUGAGUAACGCGUGGGAACGUACCUUUUGAUUCGGAACAACACAGGGAAACUUGUGCUAAUACCGGAUAAGCCCUUACGGGGAAAGAUUUAUCGCCGAAAGAUCGGCCCGCGUCUGAUUAGCUAGUUGGUGAGGUAAUGGCUCACCAAGGCGACGAUCAGUAGCNGGUCUGAGAGGAUGAUCAGCCACAUUGGGACUGAGACACGGCCCAAACUCCUACGGGAGGCAGCAGUGGGGAAUAUUGGACAAUGGGCGCAAGCCUGAUCCAGCCAUGCCGCGUGAGUGAUGAAGGCCCUAGGGUUGUAAAGCUCUUUUGUGCGGGAAGAUAAUGACGGUACCGCAAGAAUAAGCCCCGGCUAACUUCGUGACAGCCGCCGCAGUAAC
RNAcentral lists this ribosomal RNA (452 nucleotides) under uncultured bacterium. Its description in RNAcentral is "bacterial SSU rRNA". It matches the Rfam family "Bacterial small subunit ribosomal RNA", at positions 29 to 524 of the family's 1533-position model. The record is from RNAcentral.